This is a long non-coding RNA of Gasterosteus aculeatus aculeatus (three-spined stickleback), 454 nucleotides long. Lineage: Eukaryota; Metazoa; Chordata; Actinopteri; Perciformes; Gasterosteidae. The record is from Ensembl.
GUGAGACAUUAAAAAAAGAACAGCAACGAAAAGUCAGAUAGGGAAGCAGGAACAAUCAGCCGGCAUCCCCGUCGGCCCCUCUCUUUGGUGUUUUGCUUUCCCUUAAGAUCUGCUGCCGAAGAAAGCCAAGCUCCUCAUUAAAAAAUCCUCCUGAGAGAGCAACACUCAAGGGAGCGUUUUACAUCGCUGACUACUCAGGAAUCGUGUAUCUGUCUCGGCUGCCACCGUUAAGAUGGAAAAGGCAGCCGGUGAAGGAGCGACCUUAGACAAAACUAUCCCACUGUUCGCUACAGCGGAUCAUGAAGGAAAAACGACUCCUGUGGGCUGACACCAAUACAUUUCCUCCUGUCGGCGGAUCAAGAUGACUUCAAUCUGCUGUUCUUAUCUCAGAGAAUCGACGCUAUCGAUCUCUCUUCAUAAUAGAUACCCUGUUUUGCCCAGAAUUGAAUUAAAG